Molecule: ribosomal RNA, 253 nt
Filed under: uncultured bacterium
Lineage: Bacteria
Description: partial 16S ribosomal RNA
Rfam family: Bacterial small subunit ribosomal RNA
Source: RNAcentral
UACAGAGGGUGCAAGCGUUAAUCGGAAUUACUGGGCGUAAAGCGUGCGCAGGCGGUUCUAUAAGACAGAUGUGAAAUCCCCGGGCUCAACCUGGGAACUGCAUUUGUGACUGUAGAGCUGGAGUGCGGCAGAGGGGGAUGGAAUUCCGCGUGUAGCAGUGAAAUGCGUAGAUAUGCGGAGGAACACCGAUGGCGAAGGCAAUCCCCUGGGCCUGCACUGACGCUCAUGCACGAAAGCGUGGGGAGCAAACAGG